GACGAACGCUGGCGGCGUGCUUAACACAUGCAAGUCGAACGGUGACGAGGAGCUUGCUCCUCUGAUCAGUGGCGAACGGGUGAGUAACACGUGAGCAACCUGCCCCAGACUCUGGGAUAACAGUUGGAAACAGCUGCUAAUACCGGAUACGAGACGGAGAGGCAUCUCUACCGUCUGGAAAGUUUUUCGGUCUGGGAUGGACUCGCGGCCUAUCAGCUAGUUGGUGAGGUAAUGGCUCACCAAGGCGACGACGGGUAGCCGGCCUGAGAGGGCGACCGGCCACACUGGGACUGAGACACGGCCCAGACUCCUACGGGAGGCAGCAGUGGGGAAUAUUGCACAAUGGGCGAAAGCCUGAUGCAGCGACGCCGCGUGAGGGAUGACGGCCUCGGUUCGGUAACGUACGUUACUACGUCAGGAACGGAAGACGAAGGAGACGGUACGUACGCGACGAAGAAGACGACGACCGUAACUAACGUACGUACGACGACAGACCGACGGAAACGUAA
This 509-nucleotide ribosomal RNA is filed under the name uncultured bacterium. Its description in RNAcentral is "bacterial SSU rRNA". It matches the Rfam family "Bacterial small subunit ribosomal RNA", at positions 28 to 483 of the family's 1533-position model. The record is from RNAcentral.